CCAGUUCUUAUCAGGGGAGACUGCAGCACCCAUGAUCAGGAAGAAUGGAGAGAACCAGAGGAGAGAGCCAGCUGCUUCAGAUCUGGAGCCAUUUUCAUCGAACCUUUUGGGAGAAUCUUACCGGAGGAGAGACCUGCCUGCUUUAAAUCCAGGGUUGUUUUCAUCAAAGAUUAAAGGUUUCUUUAUCCGUAUCCAGAAAUAAAUGUAUUUUUCCGGCGGGAGAUGCAGCUUUCCACAGGUACAAUGGACAACAGAGCAACACAAUACAGCAAUACAACACAAAAGACAUCACAAGAAAAGAAGAGGAACAUGCAGAUUUUUUUCUUUCUCUUGCUGAUUUAUUUUCAGCACAUCGGUGCAGAAGCUGUGUACUGUAUAAAGGAAUUGCCCUGCAAUGUCACUGAGUGCUUUAAAACGAGGGACUCAAAAAACACAGUUUGCAGCUCCAUCCAGCAAACAGAACACUGUAGUAUCAGUGGAACCCGCAUCAAGCUGGAAUGUGAGGCACAAUUAACAUGCUUCUGCAAUGAAGAAGGUCCGUUUGAACUGGAUGAGCUUCCUGAAAUCCCUGUAAAAAAUCAAAGUAGUGACCUAUCCACACCUGAAGUGCCAGAGAGGAACAACACCAACAGGACCGAGUCAUCUGGUCAAAUUCAUGGGUGGCAAUCAUAUCAAGAAGACAGCACAUCAUUCUGUCACGGGUUGUCGAGGGAAUGGACCCAAAUGCAGAGUAAAGAAAACCCCAAGAACUCCAAAACGGAGGGCACCAUGAACAAUCAGGCCACAGAGAGGGAAGGGGAAAAGAGACAACCAAGAACCAAUAAGUGAACAAUUGAAACCAAUACUACAAUUACACAGGGUACAAGCAGGACACAAAACAGAAGUGCCGCCAUCUGGACAGAAAAAACACAGAACCAUGACACAUUCAUUCAAACAAAUUUAAUAAAAGCUACAUUCUUUUAUGUGUCCUGGGAUGAAUCACGUUUCUACUUGUUUCCGUUGAAUAUUAAGAAAUGUUCUGGUUAAACAAUAUGGGGCACCAAAAGCAACAUGGAAUACAAUUUUUUCUUUUUUUACCAACAUUUUACCAAAAUAUCCCUUUAUCUUCACAUUUAAGGAAUAAAAACACAGUUUGUGUGUUUUAAAAACUC
Molecule: long non-coding RNA, 1151 nt
Organism: Anguilla rostrata (American eel)
Lineage: Eukaryota; Metazoa; Chordata; Actinopteri; Anguilliformes; Anguillidae
Exons: 6
Source: RefSeq, a predicted model, not a curated record